AUACCUCUGCGGUGUUCGUGAUGAGCGUUAUCUUUUGCUGAGCCGAUGUGUAUACCGCUGGGGGCCGAUAUGUUUGUUCUGGGGCAUGCAAGCCCUGCGCAGCUUCCUUGCGAAGCUGGUCUAAGCGGGAUCCGUAAUCCAGAACCUGAGGCACCCCUUUUCUUAUGCGGGUUCACAAAAGCGUGUCACACGGCACAGGUGGAGGUAUU
This 209-nucleotide non-coding RNA is filed under the name Telmatocola sphagniphila. Its description in RNAcentral is "6S / SsrS RNA". It matches the Rfam family "6S / SsrS RNA". Rfam says of the family: E. coli 6S RNA was the first non coding RNA to be sequenced, but its function was unknown until recently. It consists of 184 nucleotides that fold into an extended hairpin structure with a large single-stranded internal bulge. Lineage: Bacteria; Pseudomonadati; Planctomycetota; Planctomycetia; Gemmatales; Gemmataceae. The record is from Rfam by way of RNAcentral.